This 769-nucleotide ribosomal RNA is filed under the name Harringtonia aguacate. Its description in RNAcentral is "Raffaelea aguacate partial large subunit ribosomal RNA". It matches the Rfam family "Eukaryotic large subunit ribosomal RNA", at positions 87 to 884 of the family's 3401-position model. Lineage: Eukaryota; Fungi; Ascomycota; Sordariomycetes; Ophiostomatales; Ophiostomataceae. The record is from RNAcentral.
CGGCGAGUGAAGCGGCAACAGCUCAAAUUUGAAAUCUGGCCCCCCGCGGGCCCGAGUUGUACUUUGGAGAGGACGCUUCUGGCGCGGCGCCGGCCGAGUGCCCUGGAACGGGCCGCCGGAGAGGGUGAGAGCCCCGUACGGCCGGCCGCCUAGCCUCUGCGAAGCUCCUUCGACGAGUCGAGUAGUUUGGGAAUGCUGCUCAAAAUGGGAGGUAAAUUUCUUCUAAAGCUAAAUACCGGCCAGAGACCGAUAGCGCACAAGUAGAGUGAUCGAAAGAUGAAAAGCACUUUGAAAAGAGGGUUAAACAGUACGUGAAAUUGCUGAAAGGGAAGCGCCUGUGGCCAGACUUGCGCCCCGCGGACCACCCGGCGCCCGCGCCGGGGCACGCCGCGGGGCGCAGGCCAGCAUCGGCUCUCCCAGGGGGACAAAGGCCGCGGGAACGUAGCGCCCUCGGGCGUGUUACAGCCCGCGGCGCCAUGCCCCUGGGGGGGCCGAGGACCGCGCUCCGGCAAGGAUGCUGGCGUAAUGGCCACCGGCGACCCGUCUUGAAACACGGACCAAGGAGUCAAGCAGUGGGGCGAGUGUCUGGGUGGCAAACCCGCACGCGGAAUGAAAGUGAACGCAGGUGGGAGCUUCGGCGCACCACCGACCGAUCCUGAUGUCUUCGGAUGGAUUUGAGUAGGAGCCUUGCCGCUUGGACCCGAAAGAUGGUGAACUAUGCCUGUAUAGGGUGAAGCCAGAGGAAACUCUGGUGGAGGCUCGCAGCGGU